GCCAUUGUGGUGUAGUGGUUUGAACAUUGGACUAUGACUCUGGAAACCUGGGUUCAAAUCCUGGCUCAGCCA
This is a non-coding RNA of Phrynosoma platyrhinos (Desert horned lizard), 72 nucleotides long. The record is from the annotation of a GenBank genome assembly. Lineage: Eukaryota; Metazoa; Chordata; Lepidosauria; Squamata; Phrynosomatidae.